Molecule: ribosomal RNA, 495 nt
Filed under: uncultured Aquiflexum sp.
Lineage: Bacteria; Pseudomonadati; Bacteroidota; Cytophagia; Cytophagales; Cyclobacteriaceae
Description: bacterial SSU rRNA
Rfam family: Bacterial small subunit ribosomal RNA
Source: RNAcentral
AGAGUUUGAUCAUGGCUCAGGAUGAACGCUAGCGGCAGGCCUAAUACAUGCAAGCUGAACGGCAAGAUUUGUAGCAAUACGAGUCCUAGAGUAGCGUAAGGGUGCGUAACACGUAUGCAAUCUGCCCGCAACAGGAGGAUAGCUUGAUGAAAGUUGAGAUAAGACUCCAUAACACCAUUUGAGGGCAUCUGAGGACGGUUAAACUACCAGGGGUUGCGGAUGAGCAUGCGCAUGAUUAGUUAGUUGGCGGGGUAACGGCCCACCAAGACAAUGAUCAUUAGGGGAACUGAGAGGUUGGUCCCCCACACUGGCACUGAGAUACGGGCCAGACUCCUACGGGAGGCAGCAGUAGGGAAUAUUGGACAAUGGGUGCAAGCCUGAUCCAGCCAUGCCGCGUGCAGGAAGAAAGCCUUCUGGGUUGUAAACUGCUUUUCUCUGGGGAUAAAAGACCGGUGCGCCGGGCAUGAAAGUACCAGAGAAUAGCCACGACUUGCC